This 602-nucleotide ribosomal RNA is filed under the name uncultured Methanosaeta sp. RNAcentral describes it as "bacterial SSU rRNA". It matches the Rfam family "Archaeal small subunit ribosomal RNA", at positions 277 to 879 of the family's 1478-position model. Lineage: Archaea; Methanobacteriati; Methanobacteriota; Methanomicrobia; Methanotrichales; Methanotrichaceae. The record is from RNAcentral.
UGAGAGCAAGAGCCCGGAGAUGGAUUCUGAGACACGAAUCCAGGCCCUACGGGGUGCAGCAGGCGCGAAAACUUUACAAUGCUGGAAACAGCGAUAAGGGGACCUCGAGUGCCAGGUUACAAAUCUGGCUGUCGUGAUGCCUAAAAAGCAUUGCAUAGCAAGGGCCGGGCAAGACCGGUGCCAGCCGCCGCGGUAACACCGGCGGCUCGAGUGGUAACCGUUAUUAUUGGGUCUAAAGGGUCUGUAGCCGGCCGGAUAAGUCUCUUGGGAAAUCUGGCAGCUUAACUGUCAGGCUUUCAGGAGAUACUGUCUGGCUCGAGGCCGGGAGAGGUGAGAGGUACUUCAGGGGUAGGGGUGAAAUCUUGUAAUCCUUGAAGGACCACCAGUGGCGAAGGCGUCUCACCAGAACGGACCUGACGGCAAGGGACGAAAGCUAGGGGCACGAACCGGAUUAGAUACCCGGGUAGUCCUAGCCGUAAACGAUACUCGCUAGGUGUCGGCAACGGUGCGACCGUUGUCGGUGCCGUAGGGAAGCCGUGAAGCGAGCCACCUGGGAAGUACGGCCGCAAGGCUGAAACUUAAAGGAAUUGGCGGGGGAGCAC